CCUACGGGUGGCAGCAGUGAGGAAUAUUGGUCAAUGGACGAGAGUCUGAACCAGCCAAGUAGCGUGAAGGAUGACUGCCCUAUGGGUUGUAAACUGCUUUUAUAUGGGAAUAAAAUGUUUCACGUGUGGGAUUUUGUAUGUACCAUAUGAAUAAGGAUCGGCUAACUCCGUGCCAGCAGCCGCGGUAAUACGGAGGAUCCGAGCGUUAUCCGGAUUUAUUGGGUUUAAAGGGUGCGUAGGUGGUUAAUUAAGUCAGCGGUGAAAGUUUGUGGCUCAACCAUAAAAUUGCCGUUGAAACUGGUUGACUUGAGUAUGUUUGAGGUAGGCGGAAUGCGUGGUGUAGCGGUGAAAUGCAUAGAUAUCACGCAGAACUCCGAUUGCGAAGGCAGCUUACUGGACUGCAACUGACACUGAGGCUCGAAAGUGUGGGUAUCAAACAGGAUUAGAUACCCCUGUAGUC
This 460-nucleotide ribosomal RNA is filed under the name uncultured bacterium. RNAcentral's name for it is "partial 16S ribosomal RNA". It matches the Rfam family "Bacterial small subunit ribosomal RNA", at positions 338 to 795 of the family's 1533-position model. The record is from RNAcentral.